CUCAGUUCUCUCCCUCUCCCCGAGCUGCACCACACACACACACACGAACGCUUUCUCUCUCGCAACCCACCAUCACUCCCUUCCCCAUGCGAGUUCCACAAGCUUGGAACGAAAUGACAACCGUAGCAUGUGCACCGUAGCUACUCCACCGUGCAGUUCGUUUUCCGGCGAGCCCUUAUUGUAGGUUUAAACGUGAAAACUGCUCGGGGAGCAUCCUCCAUAUUUUUUCCUGCGAAUAUCCGGUGGCUUCGAGCCAUUUUUCUGGCCAAAUCCCACCACGUUUGUGGAAACCAAAGGUGUAUAUAUUGUGGCGAUUCCGUCUUCUUUAGUUUGUGUGGCUCUUCGACGGCGA
Pyrus x bretschneideri (Chinese white pear) is the source of this 352-nucleotide long non-coding RNA. RefSeq lists it as uncharacterized. The transcript is spliced from 3 exons. Lineage: Eukaryota; Viridiplantae; Streptophyta; Magnoliopsida; Rosales; Rosaceae. The record is from RefSeq and is a predicted model, not a curated record.